AUCCCUUCACGGACAUCCGAUAAAAUUGGAAUGAUACAGAGAAGAUUAGCAUGGCCCCUGCGCAAGGAUGACACUCACAAAUCGAGAAAUGGUCCAAUUUUUU
RNAcentral lists this small nuclear RNA (103 nucleotides) under Triticum dicoccoides. The record is from RNAcentral. Lineage: Eukaryota; Viridiplantae; Streptophyta; Magnoliopsida; Poales; Poaceae.